This is a transfer RNA of 93 nucleotides. It matches the Rfam family "tRNA". From Rfam's summary of the family: Transfer RNA (tRNA) molecules are approximately 80 nucleotides in length. Their secondary structure includes four short double-helical elements and three loops (D, anti-codon, and T loops).
GGCACUUUGGCGGAGUGGUUAACGCGCUGCCCUGCUAUUGAGCAGAUCAAGGCAGUUCCUUCGGGAGCGCAGGUUCGAAUCCUGCAGGUGUCG